RNAcentral lists this ribosomal RNA (301 nucleotides) under uncultured bacterium. RNAcentral's name for it is "partial 16S ribosomal RNA". It matches the Rfam family "Bacterial small subunit ribosomal RNA", at positions 509 to 807 of the family's 1533-position model. The record is from RNAcentral.
CAGCCGCCGCGGGAAUACGGAGGGUGCAAGCGUUAAUCGGAAUUACUGGGCGUAAAGCGUGCGUAGGCGGCUUCUUAAGUCGGAUGUGAAAUCCCUGAGCUUAACUUAGGAAUUGCAUUCGAUACUGGGAAGCUAGAGUAUGGGAGAGGAUGGUAGAAUUCCAGGUGUAGCGGUGAAAUGCGUAGAGAUCUGGAGGAAUACCGAUGGCGAAGGCAGCCAUCUGGCCUAAUACUGACGCUGAGGUACGAAAGCAUGGGGAGCAAACAGGAUUAGAGACCCGCGUAGUCCCUGUCUCUUAUAC